Brassica napus (rape) is the source of this 1730-nucleotide long non-coding RNA. RefSeq lists it as uncharacterized. Lineage: Eukaryota; Viridiplantae; Streptophyta; Magnoliopsida; Brassicales; Brassicaceae. The transcript is spliced from 3 exons. The record is from RefSeq and is a predicted model, not a curated record.
ACAUCUCCUUAUCAAAGAAAGGAAGAGUUUUGCGAUUAAUUAUUCCUAUAAGCACAUAGUAUUUGCACGACAGUGGUGGAUCUAACAAAUAUUUAGAAUGAAGGCAUAUAAACGGUCUCCGAAGUUCGGUUUUCACGGUCAAGUAAACGGUCUCUCGGCUCUCGAUAACCGUAUUUGUUGAGGCGAUUCUCGGGAGUCAUUGGUCGUCUCGGGUCAACAUAUUGUUAUAGCUCGCAUCCGAGUGUCGCUUUGUUCCUUUUGUUCUUUGCGGCAGUGGGCUUGACUUUACUUGCAGGUGAUGGAGGCUUCUUGACAGGAUGUGGUGAUGGCAUCAACCCGAUUUCUUGCACGGUUCGUAGCGGCAAUGGAGGUGGUGUCUCUUGGUAAGAGUUAUUUCAUCAUUGUGCUCGUCUAGCACUUCAUCGAUCAGUGACGGUUAUAAGCUCGAGGAGUUUAUUGGGAGCCAGCUACUCCGGAGAUGACACGGAAGUUCCCGGCAUCCGAGGCAACGAGGAGAACCUCACGGUCCUGUGGUUAUCGUCGAUGGUAAAGAACGGUAACCGAUUCCUUAGGAUUUUAAAAAUGGCUUAACGGAAUAUGCCGGGUCUAGUAGGUGGGUGAAGCUAGGUUGUAAUACAUUGACUCGGGAGUUUUUGUUCAAAUCGAUCUUGUAACCGGAUUUGAAUCCCCUUUAUUGGGAUGAAUAAAAUUUGUUUCUUAAGAAAAAAACAAAUAUUCUUAUUUUUAUAUAUUAUUUUAUGUAUAAUUAUGCAUAAAAAUAAACCAAUAAAAUGGUAUAAAGGAAAUAUUGUUUUAUACAGUCUAAUUCAAGAAAUAAAGGAAGAUGAAUCCAACUAUCUCUUUGAUGAACGGUGGUCGUCCGGCGAAGCUCUCUCUCCUCGUUUCAGGAUGUAAAGAAGCCACGUAGAUGGCACGUGUUCAACAUGCAAAUGUUCUUGGCGAUGGUCUUCACUUGGGCUUUAAUCUUUUGUAAUAAAAUUUUAAUCUUGAUUUCCGUUUGUAAACUGUUUGCUUUUAAGCCUUUUAAUACAAGAAGCCGACAAAAAAAAUCCAACUAUCUCUUUGUUAAAAAAUAAACAAAAUGUUAAAUACAAAAAUUGGUUUUGGAUGAAAAGAGAAAUGAAGAUUAUUCCCCCAGAGUCACAGGACAUUGACAUUUCUCACAGCUCUUUUGUUGUCUCCAAAGCACUACAGGAGAAUAGGUCAAAGUCUUUUAGGAAUAGGUUUCUUGAUUUAGCUCGCAAUAGUUCAGUACUCAAGGAGAUUAUUUGUAACGGCUGUGCUGCUUGUACAGUUGUACUUAGCCGUGUUGGAUAUUUUAUCCCUUUACCUGGAUUCGACAGAAAAACCCCUCAAGAUAAUUACCUUAGCUUUUUCUCUGGUUUUGUUGAGGAACUGUGUGAGUUUGGAGCAGAGAUCUCAAGCUUUCGCUCUUCCAGCUUGGGCUCAGUCUACAAAAUAAUUCAUCCAUAAUUAUGCAGGUGCUUUGUCACGUUCUUCCAUCCUUUGUGAAGAUGCGAAAGGAAGCUUAGAUGGUCACGCGUAGAUCAAGAGUUACAUGUGUGUGUUUAUUUUUUUUUCUCUCUCUUUUCUCAAGCCGUGAGAUGAAUUUUUAACAUUCAAUAAUUUUGCUGUAGAUCUUGUGACGUUUCUCGAAUUGGUUGCCUUUCUUUGUGGUUUAGAGUUUCAGUAGCUUUUUGUUUAGAUUA